Molecule: ribosomal RNA, 402 nt
Filed under: uncultured prokaryote
Description: bacterial SSU rRNA
Rfam family: Bacterial small subunit ribosomal RNA
Source: RNAcentral
UGGGGAAUAUUGGGCAAUGGGCGAAAGCCUGACCCAGCAACGCCGCGUGAAGGAAGAAGGUCUUCGGAUCGUAAACUUCUAUCCUUGGUGAAGAUAAUGACGGUAGCCGAGAAGGAAGCCCCGGCUAACUACGUGCCAGCAGCCGCGGUAAUACGUAGGGGGCAAGCGUUGUCCGGAAUGAUUGGGCGUAAAGGGCGCGUAGGCGGCCUGGUAAGUCUGGAGUGAAAGUCCUGCUUUUAAGGUGGGAAUUGCUUUGGAUACUGUCGGGCUUGAGUGCAGGAGAGGUAAGUGGAAUUCCCGGUGGAGCGCUGAAAUGCGGAGAGAUCGGGAGGAACACCAGUGGCGAAGGCGACGUACUGGACUGUAACUGACGCUGAGGCGCGAAAGUGUGGGGAGCAAACA